RNAcentral lists this ribosomal RNA (649 nucleotides) under uncultured bacterium. Its description in RNAcentral is "bacterial SSU rRNA". It matches the Rfam family "Bacterial small subunit ribosomal RNA", at positions 43 to 681 of the family's 1533-position model. The record is from RNAcentral.
CAGGCCUAACACAUGCAAGUCGAACGGCAGCAUGGUCUAGCUUGCUAGACUGAUGGCGAGUGGCGCACGGGUGAGUAACGCGUAGGAAUAUAGCUCAAAGAGGGGGACAACCUGAGGAAACUCAGGCUAAUACCGCAUAAGCUCUGAGGAGUAAAGCUGGGGACCUUAUGGCCUGGCGCUUUGAGAUUAGCCUGCGUCCGAUUAGCUAGUUGGUAGGGUAAAGGCCUACCAAGGCGACGAUCGGUAGCUGGUCUGAGAGGAUGGUCAGCCACACUGGGACUGAGACACGGCCCAGACUCCUACGGGAGGCAGCAGUGGGGAAUAUUGGACAAUGGGGGCAACCCUGAUCCAGCAAUGCCGCGUGUGUGAAGAAGGCCUAUGGGUUGUAAAGCACUUUCAGUGGGGAGGAGGAUGUUCUGGUUAAGAGCUGGAGUAUUGGACGUUACCCACAGAAGAAGCACCGGCUAACUCCGUGCCAGCAGCCGCGGUAAUACGGAGGGUGCGAGCGUUAAUCGGAAUUACUGGGCGUAAAGGGUGCGUAGGUGGUUUGAUAAGUUGGCUGUGAAAUACCGGGGCUUAACCUUGGGGCGUCAGCCAAGACUGUCAGGCUUGAGUAUAGGAGAGGGCAGUGGAAUUUCCGGUGUAGCGG